Molecule: non-coding RNA, 199 nt
Filed under: Alicyclobacillus sp.
Lineage: Bacteria; Bacillati; Bacillota; Bacilli; Caryophanales; Alicyclobacillaceae
Source: RNAcentral
UUUGUUUGGAACGAUGAAGGAACCACGCUUUUAGCAUUCUCGUUCGCAGACAAGUUUAAGAGGGAAACCGGUGAAAAUCCGGUGCGGUCCCGCCACUGUAAGGGGGAGCUGUGAUUCAUUGCCACUGAGCAUGCGCUCGGGAAGGGAAUUGACAGCUACGAUCCUAAGCCAGGAGACCUGCCUUUUCUUAAAACACCCA